This 75-nucleotide transfer RNA is filed under the name Streptomyces albidoflavus. RNAcentral's name for it is "tRNA-Arg". It matches the Rfam family "tRNA". Rfam says of the family: Transfer RNA (tRNA) molecules are approximately 80 nucleotides in length. RNAcentral also lists the same sequence under 123 other names. The record is from RNAcentral. Lineage: Bacteria; Bacillati; Actinomycetota; Actinomycetes; Kitasatosporales; Streptomycetaceae.
GCCCCCGUAGCUCAGGGGAUAGAGCAACGGCCUCCGGAGCCGUGUGCGCAGGUUCGAAUCCUGCCGGGGGCACCA